CCUACGGGUGGCAGCAGUGGGGAAUAUUGGACAAUGGGGGAAACCCUGAUCCAGCGACGCCGCGUGAGUGAAGAAGUAUUUCGGUACGUAAAGCUCUAUCAGCAGGAAAGAAAAUGACGGUACCUGACUAAGAAGCCCCGGCUAACUACGUGCCAGCAGCCGCGGUACUACGUAGGGGGCAAGCGUUAUCCGGAUUUACUGGGUGUAAAGGGAGCGCAGACGGCAGUGCAAGUCUGGAGUGAAAGCCCGGGGCCCAACCCCGGAACUGCUCUGGAAACUGUGCGGCUAGAGUACUGGAGGGGCAGGCGGAAUUCCUAGUGUAGCGGUGAAAUGCGUAGAUAUUAGGAGGAACACCAGUGGCGAAGGCGGCCUGCUGGACAGUAACUGACGUUGAGGCUCGAAAGCGUGGGGAGCAAACAGGAUUAGAUACCCCUGUAGUC
RNAcentral lists this ribosomal RNA (440 nucleotides) under uncultured bacterium. RNAcentral's name for it is "partial 16S ribosomal RNA". It matches the Rfam family "Bacterial small subunit ribosomal RNA", at positions 338 to 795 of the family's 1533-position model. The record is from RNAcentral.